CGGCGGACGGGUGAGUAACGCGUGGGUAACCUGCCUCAUACAGGGGGAUAACAGUUGGAAACGGCUGCUAAUACCGCAUAAGCGCACAGUACCGCAUGGUACCGUGUGAAAAACUCCGGUGGUAUGAGAUGGACCCGCGUCUGAUUAGCUAGUUGGUGGGUAACGGCCUACCAAGGCGACGAUCAGUAGCCGACCUGAGAGGGUGACCGGCCACAUUGGGACUGAGACACGGCCCAA
This 237-nucleotide ribosomal RNA is filed under the name uncultured bacterium. RNAcentral's name for it is "partial 16S ribosomal RNA". It matches the Rfam family "Bacterial small subunit ribosomal RNA", at positions 96 to 334 of the family's 1533-position model. The record is from RNAcentral.